GUGGGGAAUAUUGGACAAUGGGCGAAAGCCUGAUCCAGCCAUGCCGCGUGAGUGAAGAAGGCCCUCGGGUUGUAAAGCUCUUUUGUUGGGAAAGAAAAGCCAUGGGUUAAUACCCUGUGGUUCUGACGGUACCCAAAGAAUAAGCACCGGCUAACUUCGUGCCAGCAGCCGCGGUAAUACGAAGGGUGCAAGCGUUACUCGGAAUUACUGGGCGUAAAGCGUGCGUAGGUGGUUCGUUAAGUCUGAUGUGAAAGCCCUGGGCUCAACCUGGGAAUUGCAUUGGAUACUGGCGGGCUGGAGUACGGUAGAGGGUGGCGGAAUUCCUGGUGUAGCAGUGAAAUGCGUAGAUAUCAGGAGGAACAUCCGUGGCGAAGGCGGCCACCUGGACCAGUACUGACACUGAGGCACGAAAGCGUGGGGAGCAAACAGGAUUAGAAACCCUAGUAGUCC
Molecule: ribosomal RNA, 450 nt
Filed under: uncultured Luteimonas sp.
Lineage: Bacteria; Pseudomonadati; Pseudomonadota; Gammaproteobacteria; Lysobacterales; Lysobacteraceae
Description: bacterial SSU rRNA
Rfam family: Bacterial small subunit ribosomal RNA
Source: RNAcentral